GCCUUGGGAUAGGAGUGGCUGGACUAGGGGAGCUAGAAAUGAGUUUUGUGUAUAAAGACAGCUUUGACAGGCCUGGUAACUGCUUUUUUUUGGGUUUUUCUAAUUGCUUCUGAGCAGGAGAAGUUGGUCCUUGGGAGCUGUGAUUCCUGCCUGCACGCAAUGCUGCAGGCUCCAGAGGAGAGACCCUGGGUGCUGAUGACAAGGACGUGGUCCAAGUGCCACCCCGGGCAUUGCCAGCCACAGAGGGGAUGUGUUUGCCUGGGACAGGUGCAUUCCCAGUCUCGCAGAGCAGGAGGUUCUGAGCUGUGACCGUGCCACUCCAGCACCUAAAAUGUGAAACCUGUGGAGAAUUCCUAUUACUGUGCAGUGAAUAGCAGGAAGCAAACCAUGGACACUCAGUUGUUCUCCCCAUUCCUGGGAGCAGUCCCCAGUCCCCCCACGCUCCUGGAGCCGUCCCAGCUGUGCAGGGACUGGCCAGGAUGUGCUGAGGAUUUUGGAUCCCAAACUGCCUUCCAGGAGUGCCCAAAACAAAGGGCACCAAUAAAUCUUUCUUACACUGGCAAUGGCCCUGAUGUGUUUGGGUUGGUGUCGAGCAUUUUAGAGGAGCCAACCAAGCCAGAAGCAGCUACAGAUUGGAAUUCUCCAGCAAGAUUCUUUCCCCCUGUGUGGGCACCUGAUCUGGGCAGCACCGGGGAGUUCCCAGGGCUGCCAUCUCAGCACUGUGUCCAAAACAAGGAUUUUCCCAACCUGCUGGGCUCCAGCUGCCAUCAGGAACCCCUGCAGGAGCCUCCCGAGCUGGAGAUGCUGCACAGAGGCUUGGGAGACCUGCAGCUCCUCGAGUCGUGGCUCUCUCCCUGUGCUCACCCCAGCAAUGCCCCAAGGAACUCUGAAAAUUCCCCUUUGCAAGCCACAGCUCCCCAGGAAGGCUUUUCCUUCCCAAAUGGGGGCUGGAACCAGCAUUUGUGCACUUACGACCAUGGGAGGUUAAAUGGAGGCCACGAAAAAUGUGGGUCCAAUUUUCAGCCUUUUUCUCCUCAGAGCAGGAUGAAAGAGAGCCCCAGCGUUGAGAAGGAGUUUUGGAGAAGAGGAAAAGCUGUGAAAAAUUAUGCUCGAGGACAAACUCAGUAUUUCCCUGAUCUUUCCAAUCAGCCUGGUGAUAACUCUUGGGAUAAGGUACCCCAGGACAGCCACGUGUUCUCUAAGAGAUAUGAGAACUUCCCAGCUGCCCACAAACUGCAGUCACCUGUCCAGCCAUCCCUUCAUUUUUCCAAUCCACCCCCUAAGGAAAAUACUUUUUCUGGAGGAGCAGGCAGAAAACCCCAGGAAAGCCAUGUGCAGAAUGGCCAUUGUGGCUUUACUUUAGGGGAUGCUUUUAAUAAUAAUAAUAAUGAUGAGUGUAAAGUGAAUAUGGCACCUAAGGGAAGCUCUCCUCAAGCAGCUGAAUGUGAUUUAUCUGUGCAAAAUGGAAAUUACUCUUCGUACCAGGGGUGUGCAUGGCUGGAUGGGAGCAAUCUGGCAGCUGCAUCUGAAAUUCCAUGUGGAAAACAAAUGGCAACGAGCCCCCAGUCCUCAUCAGGGGUUUCCAGCAUGUCUGGGGGCUCUCCCACCCACCAGCCUUUCACACAGCCCCCCUACUACUCCCAGCUCCUCCCUGCCCUCCCUGCCAGGAAAGAUGGGAGGCUCCAAACAUCAAAUGAAGUUUCCAGUCACUUGGGGGUUCCUCAUUUCAUCUCGGAGAGCCAGAAGCAGAUGAGAAGAUCCCAGGAGGAUGCUGGGGUGACAAAGGAGGGGCAGCGCCACAAAUUCCCUGCUCGUUUUUCACCCGACUGGCUCGUGCAGCAGAAAGCUGCAGGAGAAGACCCCGCUGAGAAAUGCCAGAG
RNAcentral lists this long non-coding RNA (1880 nucleotides) under Lonchura striata (white-rumped munia). RNAcentral's name for it is "domestica (Bengalese finch) lncRNA (ENSLSDG00000000888.1)". The record is from RNAcentral. Lineage: Eukaryota; Metazoa; Chordata; Aves; Passeriformes; Estrildidae.